Oxyura jamaicensis (ruddy duck) is the source of this 366-nucleotide long non-coding RNA. RefSeq lists it as uncharacterized. The transcript has 2 exons. The record is from RefSeq and is a predicted model, not a curated record. NCBI's taxonomy places the organism in Eukaryota, Metazoa, Chordata, Aves, Anseriformes, Anatidae.
CAGAACGAGGGUGGAGGUGCUUCCCUGGGACCUGAGGAAGACAAACUCGGGGUAUCAUUUCUGCUUGAGGUUUUUUACCCCUCCCACUCAUUGCCAGAAGGACUCCAGGGGGCAGAGGUCCGUGAAACUAAGAAGGCUCAGUGGAGCUGACUGUUCACAGCACCACAAAUGGAGCCAGCACAGCCCUGUGCAGUAGCCAGCUAUUCAGACAGAACCAGCAGUGGGCUCAAAAACUCAGCGCAUGCUCCUUGGCUACCUGGUGCAGCUGUGACUUUAUGGCUGUGGGGUCCCAUUCCCUCUAGUCACACGUACUAUCUGCAUCUGUCUCCAAAUUGUAAACAAAAAUAGUAAAAAAAAAAAAAAAAA